GUAACACGUGUGCAACCAACCCCGUACCGGGAGAUAACCCGCGGAAACGUGGACUAACACCCCAUAACACCUUUCCCCCGCAUGGGGGGGAGUUUAAAACCCCGGUGGUACGGGACGGGCACGCGCGACAUUAGGUAGUUGGCGGGGUAACGGCCCACCAAGCCGACGAUGUCUAGGGGUUCUGAGAGGAAGGUCCCCCACACUGGAACUGAGACACGGUCCAGACUCCUACGGGAGGCAGCAGUGAGGAAUAUUGGUCAAUGGGCGAGAGCCUGAACCAGCCAAGUCGCGUGAGGGAAGAAUGGUCUAUGGCCUGUAAACCUCUUUUGUCAAGGAAGAAUAAGCGGCACGAGUGCCACCUUGCCAGUACUUGACGAAUAAGCAUCGGCUAACUCCGUGCCAGCAGCCGCGGUAAUACGGGGGAUGCGAGCGUUAUCCGGAUUUAUUGGGUUUAAAGGGCGCGUAGGCGGGACGGCAAGUCAGCGGUAAAAGACUGCAGCUAAACUGUAGCACGCCGUUGAAACUGUCGACCUGGAGACGAGACGAGGGAGGCGGAACAAGUGAAGUAGCGGUGAAAUGCAUAGAUAUCACUUGGAACCCCGAUAGCGAAGGCAGCUUCCCAGGCUCGAUCUGACGCUGAUGCGCGAGAGCGUGGGUAGCGAACAGGAUUAGAUACCCUGGUAGUCCACGCCGUAAACGAUGCUCACUGGAUCUUGGCGAUACACGGCCAGGGUUCAAGCGAAAGUAUUAAGUGAGCCACCUGAGGAGUACGUCGGCAACGAUGAAACUCAAAGGAAUUGACGGGGGCCCGCACAAGCGGAGGAACAUGUGGUUUAAUUCGAUGAUACGCGAGGAACCUUACCCGGGUUUAAAUGCAGGUUGCAUGAGGUGGAAACACCUCUUUCCCUCGGGACUACCUGCAAGGUGCUGCAUGGUUGUCGUCAGCUCGUGCCGUGAGGUGUCGGGUUAAGUCCCAUAACGAGCGCAACCCCUAUCGCCAGUUGCCAUCGGUUCAAGCCGGGCACUCUGUCGAGACUGCCACCGUAAGGUGCGAGGAAGGCGGGGAUGACGUCAAAUCAGCACGGCCCUUACACCCGGGGCGACACACGUGUUACAAUGGCCGGUACAGAGGGCAGCCACGGGGCGACCCGGAGCGAAUCUCUAAAGCCGGUCGUAGUUCGGACUGGAGUCUGCAACCCGACUCCACGAAGUUGGAUUCGCUAGUAAUCGCGCAUCAGC
Molecule: ribosomal RNA, 1239 nt
Filed under: metagenome
Description: bacterial SSU rRNA
Rfam family: Bacterial small subunit ribosomal RNA
Source: RNAcentral